Molecule: ribosomal RNA, 3201 nt
Filed under: Triticum aestivum (bread wheat)
Lineage: Eukaryota; Viridiplantae; Streptophyta; Magnoliopsida; Poales; Poaceae
Description: partial small subunit ribosomal RNA
Source: RNAcentral
AUGAAGGACCAGGAAUCGGCCGGCGUCUCGCCCGGCCCGCCGGAGGCAGGGGAGAAGAAGGCCAUCAACUCGGAGCUGUGGCAUGCCUGUUCCGGGCCUCUGGUGGCGAUGCCGCCGGUGGGCAGCCUUGUCGUCUACUUUCCACAGGGCCACAGCGAGCAGGUCGCCGCUUCGAUGCACAAGGAGGUGGACAUCAUCCCCAAUUACCCGUCUCUUCCUUCUAAGCUCAUCUGCAAGCUUCUGAGCCUCACCCUACAUGCAGAUUCUGAAACGGACGAAGUUUAUGCUCAGAUGACGCUUCAGCCUGUUAACAAAUAUGACCGGGACGCAAUGCUGGCAUCUGAACUGGGUCUGAAGCAAAACAAGCAGCCGGUGGAGUUCUUUUGCAAGACACUGACGGCGAGCGACACAAGUACUCAUGGUGGAUUCUCGGUGCCACGUCGUGCGGCGGAAAAAAUAUUCCCACCGCUAGACUUUACGAUGCAACCACCCGCUCAAGAGCUGAUGGCCAAGGAUCUUCAUGACAUUCCAUGGAAAUUCCGACACAUUUUUCGAGGUCAACCAAAGAGACACCUUUUGACAACUGGUUGGAGUGUCUUUGUCAGUACAAAAAGGCUUUUAGCUGGUGAUUCAGUUCUGUUUAUAAGGGAUGAGAAAUCUCAGCUUCUCUUAGGCAUACGGCGUGCUACAAGACCUCAGCCAGCUUUAUCAUCAUCAGUUUUAUCGAGCGACAGCAUGCACAUUGGGAUUCUAGCAGCAGCAGCCCACGCCGCCGCAAACAGUAGUCCUUUUACUAUUUUCUACAAUCCAAGGGCGAGCCCAUCAGAAUUUGUCAUCCCUUUAGCAAAAUAUAACAAGGCUCUGUAUACACAAGUUUCUCUCGGGAUGCGGUUCAGGAUGCUGUUUGAGACUGAGGAUUCGGGGGUCCGAAGGUACAUGGGCACGAUCACGGGUAUUGGUGACUUGGAUCCGGUGCGGUGGAAGAAUUCUCAUUGGCGUAACCUUCAGGUUGGCUGGGAUGAAUCAACUGCAUCUGAGAGGCGCACUCGUGUUUCGAUAUGGGAGAUCGAACCAGUUGCCACACCUUUUUAUAUUUGUCCACCACCAUUUUUCAGGCCAAAACUUCCUAAGCAGCCAGGAAUGCCAGAUGAUGAAGGCGAGGUUGAUAGUGCUUUCAAAAGAGCCAUGCCAUGGCUUGGUGAUGACUUUGCCCUAAAAGAUGUCCAAAGUCAAUUAUUUCCAGGCCUGAGCUUAGUUCAAUGGAUGGCUAUGCAGCAGAAUCCUCAGAUGCUACCAGCUGGUGCCCCAGCUGUGCAGGCGCCGUACUUGAACUCCAGUGCAAUGGCUAUGCAGGAUGGGAUGGGCACUGGCAAUGACGACCUGAUGAGAAGAUUCAAUAUGCAAAGCCAAAAUAUUAGUUUACCUAACUCACAGGUUGGCUCAAAAAUGGACCACGCCGCAAUGGCUCAACAUCAACAGCAGUCCCACCAACUACAACAACAGCAGCAGGUCCAGCAAUCACAGCAAAGUUCUGCGGUUCAGCAACAGCAAGCCCAAUUGCUGCAGCAGAAUGCCAUUCAUCUCCAGCAGCAGCAAGAACAUCUCCAGCGUCAGCAGUCACUGCCACAGCAGCAGCAAGAACAUCUCCAGAGGCAGCAGUCACAGCCACAGCAGCAGUUGAAGACCGCUGCAAGUAUGCCGUCAAUGGAGCAGCAUAAGCUGAGAGAACAACAGCCCCAAGGUGGACAGGCUGUUUCGCAAGCACAAAUGUUGAGCCAGAUUUUCCAGCCGUCUUCCUCCCAGCUACAACAGUUGGGUUUACCAAAGUCGCCUACCCAGCGCCCAGGAUUUCCAGGUUUACCAACUGCAUCUUCUUUGCAGCAGCCAGCUCUGGGCCAGGCACCACAGGUCCAGCAAGCAGCAGAGUAUCAGCAGGCCCUUUUACAGAGUCAGCAACAGCAGUUACAACAACUGUCACAACCAGAAAUGCAGCUGCAGCUGCUUCAAAAGAUUCAGCAGCAAAAUAUGUUAUCUCAACUGAACCCGCAGCAUCAGUCCCAGUUGAUGCAACAGUUAUCUCAGAAAAAUCAGGAAUAUCUCCAGCAACAGAUUUUGCAACACCAGCUGAGCGGCUCUGAUGCUAUGGUCCAGUUCAAACAAUCACAUCAAACACCUUCAAACAACAUCACAGGAUCUCUGACGCCCCAGCAGCUUGCAAGGUCUCACUCGGCACUUGCCGAGAGCGAGGAUCCGUCAAGCUCAACUGCUCCAUCUGCCAAUCGUCUUUCUCCAAUGAAUUCAUUGAGCAGAACACACCAAGGGAGCAGAAACUUAACUGACAUGACAACAUCGCCACAUAUUGAUAACUUACUUCAGGAAAUUCAAAGCAAGCCAGAUAACCGAAACAAGAAUGAUCUGCAGAGUAGCAAAGAAACGAUUCCAGUACCCAAUCGAUACCCAGUUUCAGAUCAACUGGAUGCGUCAUCUGCCACGUCCUUUUGUUUAGAUGAGAGCCCACGAGAAGGCUUUUCCUUUCCCCCAGUUUGUUUGGACAGCAAUGCUCAAGUCGACCCAAGGGAUAACUUUCUUAUUGCGGAAAAUGUGGAUUCACUGAUGCCGGAUGCCCUGUUGUCAAGAGGGAUGGGUUCCGGAAAGGAUAUUUGCAAUCUUCCUUCUGGGCAAAGGGAUCACAGGGAGGUUGAUAAUGAGCUAUCCUCUGCCGCAUUCAGUUCCCAGUCAUUUGGUGUGCCUGACAUAUCCUUCAAGCCUGGAUGUUCAGGUGAUAUUGCUGUUAAUGAUGGUGGAAUGCCAAGCCAAGGGUUGUGGAAUAAUCAAACACAGCGGAUGAGAACUUUCACUAAGGUUCAAAAGCGUGGAUCUGUGGGGAGAUCAAUCGACAUCACACGGUAUACAAAUUAUGAUGAACUUCGGCAUGAUCUUGCAUGCAUGUUUGGUAUUCAAGGUCAGCUCGAAGAUCCGUACAGAAUGGACUGGAAGCUAGUCUAUGUUGAUCAUGAAAACGACAUCCUCCUUGUUGGAGAUGACCCAUGGGAGGAGUUUGUGAGCUGUGUGAAGAGCAUCAAAAUAUUAUCAUCUGUUGAAGUGCAACAGAUGAGUUUGGAUGGCGACCUUGGCGGUAUCCCUUCACAAACACAAGCCUGUAGUGCUUCCGAUGAUGCAAAUGCAUGGAGAGGAUCCUGA